RNAcentral lists this ribosomal RNA (468 nucleotides) under uncultured bacterium. Its description in RNAcentral is "partial 16S ribosomal RNA". It matches the Rfam family "Bacterial small subunit ribosomal RNA", at positions 28 to 507 of the family's 1533-position model. The record is from RNAcentral.
GACGAACGCUGGCGGCGUGCUUAAUACAUGCAAGUCGAACGGAAAGGCCCUGCUUUUGCGGGGUGCUCGAUUGCCGAACGGGUGUGUAACACACGAGUAACAUCCCCCUGACUUUGGGAUAACUCCAGGAAACAGGGGCUCAUACCCGAUAUGAGCUUUUGCUGCAUGUUGGGGGUAGGUGAAUUUCGGCGGUUGUGGAUGGAAUCGCGGCUUAUCAGCUUGAUGGUGGGGUAGUGACUUACCAAGGCUUUGACGGGUAGCCCACCUGAGAGGUUUACCAGCCACCUUAGGACUGAGGUACGGCCCAGACGGCUACCGUACGCAGUGGUCGGGAGUAUUGCACAAUAGCGCCGAGCGUGAUACAGCAACGCCGCGUGCGGAAUAACGGGCUUCGAGUUAAAAACCGCUUUCGCCUUUGCCGAAGCGUGAGUGACGGUAAUUAGUAAAAAAGCACCGGCUAACUACGUG